GAGUUUGAUCAUGGCUCAGGAUGAACGCUGGCGGCGUGCCUAAUACAUGCAAGUCGAGCGAACGGACGAGAAGCUUGCUUCUCUGAUGUUAGCGGCGGACGGGUGAGUAACACGUGGAUAACCUACCUAUAAGACUGGGAUAACUUCGGGAAACCGGAGCUAAUACCGGAUGAUAUUUUGAACCGCAUGGUUCAAAAGUGAAAGACGGUCUUGCUGUCACUUAUAGAUGGAUCCGCGCUGCAUUAGCUAGUUGGUAAGGUAACGGCUUACCAAGGCAACGAUGCAUAGCCGACCUGAGAGGGUGAUCGGCCACACUGGAACUGAGACACGGUCCAGACUCCUACGGGAGGCAGCAGUAGGGAAUCUUCCGCAAUGGGCGAAAGCCUGACGGAGCAACGCCGCGUGAGUGAUGAAGGUCUUCGGAUCGUAAAACUCUGUUAUUAGGGAAGAACAUAUGUGUAAGUAACUGUGCACAUCUUGACGGUACCUAAUCAGAAAGCCACGGCU
Molecule: ribosomal RNA, 507 nt
Filed under: uncultured microorganism
Description: bacterial SSU rRNA
Rfam family: Bacterial small subunit ribosomal RNA
Source: RNAcentral